UUACACAAUAACCGCAGAGGUGAAGAGAGAAGGAAAUCGUCGGCUUUUCUCUGUUUUUGCAUCUCCUUCCUUAACUCCUGGAAAUCUCGAACGUUUGUCCAACGUACCUCAGCAAUUAUUUAUUGAAGCUUCUCAUUACAACGAAUUGGCCCCGAACUUUGUCUAGGAAUCUCUCCUCUCUUUGGCGGAGGCUCCCGGAUUGGCUGGAAUUUGAACAUGCGCAGAAGCUCAGCAAACCCAGGGCGGGAUGGUGCACUCGCGGGCAACGCCUCUCUUCCCCUGACAACGGGAAGCGGGUGAGCGUCAAGACGCCUGCGCAAACGUGGCCGGGGCGCCGGGGUGGUGGGUUACGCCUGGAGAGCGCAUGGGCAGACAAACUGUACGUCCGUUUGUCCGGAGCGGAGGGGAGAGUGGGCGCCAUCUUCUUCUAGGCUCACUGAGGGCUCCACCUGUACUGGGCAGGCUGCUGCGACGAGGAGUGCCCCCCGCCCCCGGCCUUGUGUGUCCGACUCGGCAGCAGUGUUAAGUUGCUUUUACAGAAUUAACAGGUCUCCAAGAAAUUUUAAAAAGAUCUCUUCUAGGAGUGAGUCUCAAGAUGUUCUGAAGUGACUGCACAGAGGUGAUCUUUUGAAGGGGGACAUGAGCCCGACAAUGCUUUUUUAUGUGAAGAACAAAUAAGGUAAGAUGGUUUGUAAUAUAACUAGAUGCCUAACUGCAAAAAAAUUAGCUGCUGCCAGAAUUUGUCUCAGCAGUUCUCGUAAGGCAUGGACUACCUAAGAAAAGUAGCAAGUUCUUUCUCUGUUCCUCACUACAUAUUUUCUCUGUUUGUUUCCAAGAAACCCUGUAUUUAAAGGAUCCUUUUUCUUCUUGGUACCUGUUUGAUACCAUUUUAUUUGCCCUGGUCCCACAACUGUCCCUAGACUCCUCUCUCCCCACAAUCUCUAUAUGGCAUAAUAGUAAUAGCAUAUGCCUGUAGUUUGUUAUAUCUAACUGUAUCCUUUGCCUGAAAGGUGUUGCCAGGGGUUCUCUUACACAUCCCUCAGACUUCUCAUUAAGAAAUCAUUCUUUGAUUUCUCCAGACUGUUUAGAAUCCUCCAUCACAUAUACUUACAGCACACUAUAUUUUUUAUGAGACUGGUCAUAUUAUAAAACUUAAAUAGUUAUAUAGUACAGACAUACCUGGUUCUAUUGCAUUUCACUUUAUUGUGCUUCACAGAUAUUCUGUUUUUUACAAAUGGAAGGUUUGUGGCAACCCUGCUUCAAGCAAGUCUAUCGGUGCUGUUUUCCCCACAGCAUCUGCUCACUUCAUGUCUCUGUCACAUUUUGGUAAUUAUUGCAAUAGUUUAAACUUUGUCAUUAUUAUUAUUACUAUAUGUGUUAUGGUGACCUGUCAUCAGUGAUUAUGACUCACUGAAAGCUCAGAUAAUGGUUAGCAUUUUUUAGCAAUAAAAUAUUUAAUUUAGGUAUGUACACUUUUUUAAAGAUCUAAUGCUAUUGCAUACUUAAGAGACUAUAGUAUACAACAUUGUAUAUUAACUAUACUAGAAUUAAAAUUAAAAACUUAAACAAAUAGACUACCGUAUAGUGUAAACAUUAACUUUUAUAUGCACUGGGAAACUAAAAAAUUCAUUUGACUUGCUUUGUUGUGAUAUUCCUUUUGUUGCAGAGUUCUGGACUGCUGCAAUCUCUGUGAGGUAUGCCCGUAUAUGUUUUUUAAUGUCUGAACUCCAUGGUAGAUUUUUAAGUUUUUGAUUUGACAACUCAGAGCAUUUCUAACCAAUAAUGCUAAAUCCUCAGAAAUAAGAAUGCUGCCUGGCAUAUAAUAGGUGCUCAAUUAACAGUUUCUGAAUGAACAUUUAAUGAAGUAAUAAAUCCUGUAUCUCCAUUUUAGGGAUAAGGAAGCUGAAAUAUGAAGAACUUGCUCAAUAUUGCCCCACUACAAAGUGGGGAAGUUGAUACUUUGUCAAAAACAUAGCUACCACACAGCCUUGAGAUCUUUAGUUUUUUAUGAACCUAUCCUCUCAUGAGCUACCUAGCUAGCUGAUUGAGAACAGUAGUAAGAGAAGUGGUAGGACAAAAAGAACCUAGAUAGGACCUCUGGGAUGAGAAGGAAAAUCUUGGGGUCCAAAGGAAUUGAAGGAACUUUAGUGACUGUUAACAAAUGGCAUGUCAAGGGCGUUAGAAAAAGAAUGAAAAUACUUUUAAAGAGGACUCCAGCGUUGUAGGAAAAGUGAGGGAUCAAUUCUGAACCUGCCACUCAAUGCAGUGUUGUUUCUUGUAGGGAAUGGUGCACCUCACUCAAAGAAGCACCCUUUUUGCAGGACAGAGAGGACACAAACACAGUGUCAGUAGUCAGACUUCUGGGUUUGGCUCCCAGCUAUAUUACUUAUUGGUUAUGGGACCCUCAUUCUGCCUCAGUUUUCUCUUCCAUAGAAAUGAGGAUGAUAAGUACUUCUAUCUAGUUGGCGGGAGAAUUAAAAUAGAAUUAAAAUGUGUAGAUCAGUAGCCGUCCAAAGUAAUCACUAUGUAAACGUUGCUAUUUUAUUAUUUUACAAAUGACAUAAAAGCUUGAUCUAUUUUUUUAAAAAACAGGACAUGAAAGGAGUGUAAAUUAAGAAACCGUAGCUUUAAUAUUUGGAAGGAAUGGACCCUUAGGAAGCCAUCUAUGGACAAACAAUAAACAGAAAUAUGAUCAUAUAUGCAUAACUGGUAUAAAACUGGGAGAUGAGAUUCUGGCAUUGGAAAACAUAUACACAUAUAUUAAAACAUGUGCCUUUCUUCAUUUUAGUCAAGCUGUAAUCUGAUUUUACUGAAUUAAGUUUCCUGGAACCAAUGGAGUAGUGAGAAGAGAAGGCACAGGUGAUUGUUUUAUGAUGGAUAGUUAAUAUAAUAACCAACUUGGGGAGUCGUCACAAUUGUCAAAUGCAGACACUCCCAAAUUCUAUCACUUAUUAAUACAGAAUUCUGGUUAUAUCUUGAAACUACCUGGCUUUUUUUACUUCUACUACAGAGAUGAAAUAUGGACAAAGCAUGUCUUCAAUAUUUUAUCUGUUUUUGCAAAAAUACUUUUCUGCCUUUUUUCUUCCCUCUUAGAAGGUAGGAGGGUAGGAUAUUUACUCUUCGAUGUGCUUGUUGAAGCCAGGCUUUGAUAUUUAGAUAUCUAACAUUAGUUGGCCAAUUGAAUUUGCACUGAACACUCAGUACAAAGCAAGCCUUAUUAUAAAUCUACAUUUAUUUCAUAGCAUGCUGAUUAAGUCACACAAAACUGGUGAGAAUCCUGAUUCUGCUAUGUAUAGCUAAGUGGCUAUGGUCAAGUUAAGUUACUUAAAGCCUCUAAACCUGUUUUUGUAGUUGUAAAAUGAGAAGAGUAACAGCACCUACCUUACAGGAUUGUGUGAGGAGUGAAUGAGAAAAUGCAUGUGAAGCUUUAGGUAUUCUGCAUAGCCUAAGCACUCAGAUGUUAGCACAAAUCAAUGAUAUGGUUAGUAUAUUUAAGUGAUUUACAUCACCAGUCGAAAUGAUACAUUAUUUCACAUAAUGGCCUUAUUAACUAGCUAUUAAUAAAUUAACUUUUAGAACUUUACCAUGGUUAAUUUGAAAAGUUAAAAAUACAUACUUAGAAAAUCACAGAAGUUCAGCUAUUUGGGACUGCACUGUAGUGUUCAAAUUUAAGAUAUUUUUACCCACACAACCUAAUGCUUUCUUUUAAAUAUUUCCAUCUUAAUAGAAGAACUGAACUUGGAUAGACAUAGUCCUACCUCCAAAUCCUCUUCUUCAUCAAUCUUUUUUAUGUUUUGGUAAGCAGCUGUGUAGACCUCUAAAGCUUUGCCAUGAAAUAACAUUUCAAUAGUGAUAAAUUCUGAAAAUAUAGUCUAAAAAAAAAAAAAAAACAAAAGACACCGAAGAUUUGAAUUUAAACAAUCAUAUGAAUUUGUGAAUUUAGUAUAUUUAUUCCUUACCAUAGUCUUGGCAUUUUAUGAAAUACAGAGGUAUCUCUUUUUCCACAGGGCAAAUGAAGUACAAAAGAUAACAGGAGUAAAAAUAGUUGCAAAGACCUUUUACAACACAACCUUGAAAUUAUACAAAAUAUUUCCUAUCUCACCAUUUACUUCCCUCUUAGUUUUUAAGUUAGUGUUUUGUAUACCUUGUAAUUGACAUUUGUGAUAAAAAAAAUCUGACUAAAAUGUAUAUACCAUUAUGUACUCUGUUACAAUAUGUCUAUUAAGUAUUAGAUAAAGCAGGUCAGUUCUAAACCUGGUAUUUUAUAAUUCCAACUGAUGCUUAAAUAAUAGUAUGUUUUUCAGACAGGAAUUAUAUCUCAUCAUGUUUCUCUGUGUUCUUGUUCUCUAACCACAAAGGAAUUACUUGGUAAUUAUAUUGUUACCACUAAUAAUAGUGUCAUUCACUUGCAUAGAGCCUUCCAGUUUACAAAUAUAUGACUUGCCUAAUGUUACUCACAGCUAGAAUGUUGAAACUUGGGUCUGAUUCUUCAAAGGUUGCAGCUCUUGCUUAUUGUACUGUGCUAUUCUUGCUGGAAUCAAUCAUUUCUUUCACAAAUAAACUUCAUGUAAACCUUAUGAGCUUGAUAACAACUUAUGACAAGGAAGAUGAUGCGCUAAGAGAAUGAAUGAAGAUGUACAUGUUGAUCUAAGCAGGGGUGAGAUAAUCAGUAGGAAAGGAAAGGAUACAAACCAGACAAGUUUUCAAUAAAAUAGGAUCUUAUCCUUUUGUUAUCUUGUCCCUUAUCAAAAUAAAAAAUCAGAAUUUUUGUUAAAGUAGGAGUGGGCAGAAUAAGAACAAGGUAGAAAAUACUCAAGCAUUGUCCUUAAAGGGGCAAGAGAGAAGACAUGGGUUAUAGAAGACAAGAGUCAAAUACCCUUUUCUCAUCAUUCCUGCUCUCCUGUGUUCACCACCCAGCUAGGAGUGGUCCUGCACUUUGGAAGACAGUGUUACAGGUAUCCCUUAGUGUCCUGUAAUUUCCCCCCACCCUUCUCCAUUCUUUCUUAAGGAUCAGAAGAAUAUUUAAGGGAGUACUAAUAGGCUUCUGAUCACUACUUAAUGUAAACAGAUCUGUAGUUAAAAAGUAUCCAUUCUGGUCUGCAAAGACUGGGCUCUGGGAUAAGACAAAACUAUGACUCAACAGUGACCCUUUCACACAGGUCACAGAGGAUUCUGGUAUACUGCAGUGGCAACUAAGAAGCAGCAUUAUGUCCAAGAAUCUCCAGAUCCCAGGAAAUACCUUCGAAGUGAACUGGCUUUUGAUUAGGACUGGGACUUACUCACUUAGGUGUCAGUCUUCCUAAGAUAGCUGCCUAGCUUAGAAGUGCCCUUUAGGAGUGUGGAAACUCUCAGAGGGAAAACAGCACAAUGAGGAGUCAGUGAUAAGCCAAAACACUGGAAGACUCCUACUUGGUUCUUGGUCUGCAGCUGAUUUUAGGUAAUGGGAACAAUCAAGCACAGGCUUACAUCUUUCCUUCUGAAUCUUAAAUUUAGAGAUUUUCUACAUUUAGUAAAUAAAGAACUAUAUAAGAAUAUAUAGACAUAGUUUGACUUUAUUUUUAUUCAAGGCUGGAACAGAAAAUUUUUUCAUUUACUUAAGCUUAGAAUUAUACAAUAAACCCUUAAACUUUUUUCAGGUAAGUACAGAGGGAGGUGGAAAAGCACAUUUUACAAUGUUAUAUAGUCAACUCUCUGUUUUAGUUUUUCUUGGAUAUUUACAGACCAUCUGUUUACUUACGUGGAGAGAGAAGAGAAGGUAUUUACCUUAUGCUAUUAAAGUACCUGAGAAAUAAAAUAGCCUCAAAUAAGGGAUUAAGCUUAAUCACUCAAGUGAGUUAGGUGUUACUCUUAUUUUUACAUAUUUCCACAAAUGGAUGUUUUAAAUCUUUUAAUAGACUGUCACACUAUUUAGUAACUAGUGAAAUUCAAACAUUUAUGACCUUAUUACACCUAAAUUUGUAGUUUAGGCUUAAUUCAAAUCUAUUCCACUGUGGUACCUUUGUGGAAUAUGUGACUAUUUUAAAAUAUUUUUCAAAUAUGUGAAUAUAGUUAUUAAAUUUCUGAUGGUCAAAAUCUCUGUCAUCUCUGAACUAACAAUUACUUAAUACUAGCAUUUUAUAGGAUUUAUAUUCCCCUUAGCUCAUAAGCCCUGAAAGAUAUGUAGAUAUGUCUGUCAAUACACUCUUUUUCUUUAUUCAUAUCCUCUGAUAAAUUACUACAUUCUCAUUUUAAGACACUGAUGAACUUUUAGUCUGUUACCAUUUUCCAGUCUCAAAAUUUAGUUUUAAUUAGUGAUAAGUACUUUACAAAUUAUCUUUAUAAAUGGCUAUUAUUUACUAGUUGGAAGGUGGGGGGAAAUCACUCUCAAGUUCUGUGAUACUUUGGUUUAAGCCUCUGUGGUUUGAACUUUUAUUUCUUGACAAAAUCUCUAUUAGAACACCUGAAUAAGAGGAGAAUGGACCUAUUGAUUUUUUUAUACUGUUUAUUUUUCUGUCAGAAACAGUAUGAGAAAGCAGUAGUACUGGUAAUUUACUAUCCCAGACUUGGAAUUUUUGACCAAGAGUCAUGAAGCCUAAAGAUUAUCACAGAGGAGAGUUAUAUCCCUGAGUACAGUCAGAAGAAAUCCUACCAAUUAUACUCUUUCUAGUUAGAAUUUCAUAAAAUACCCAAAAAUAGGCAGAAGGAAGAAGAAUAAUAGCAAAGAACAUAAAAGUUAGAUGACAACUAAUAUAAGAAAGAAUAUAAAAGGCAUGUUUUUGAAAUAAAA
Ailuropoda melanoleuca (giant panda) is the source of this 6766-nucleotide RNA transcript. It is a transcript of the gene named RNA binding motif protein 12B, with no coding region annotated. Lineage: Eukaryota; Metazoa; Chordata; Mammalia; Carnivora; Ursidae. The record is from RefSeq and is a predicted model, not a curated record. The transcript has 3 exons.